AUUUCCGGUUGAUCCCGCCGGACCUGACUGCUAUCGGAUUGGUACUAAGCCAUGUGAGUCAUUGUAGCAAUACAAGGCAGACGGCUCAGUAACACGUAGUCAAUCUACCCUAUGGACGGGAAUAACCUCGGGAAACUGAGGAUAAAACCCGAUAGAUCAUAGUGCCCGGAAUGGCUUAUGGUCCAAAUGAUUCGUCGCCGUAGGAUGGGACUGCGGCCUAUCAGCUUGUUGGUGAGGUAAUGGCCCACCAAGGCUAUUACAGGUACGGGCUCUGAGAGGAGAAGCCCGGAGAUGGGUACUGAGACACGGACCCAGGCCCUAUGGGGCGCAGCAGGCGAGAAACCUUUGCAAUGUGCGCAAGCACGACAAGGUUAAUCCGAGUGUUUCCUGCUAAAGGAAUCUUUUGUUAGUUCUAAAACCACUAAUGAAUAAGGGGUGGGCAAGUUCUGGUGUCAGCCGCCGCGGUAAAACCAGCACCUCAAGUGGUCAGGAGGAUUAUUGGGCCUAAAGCAUCCGUAGCCUGUUCUAUAAGUUUCCGGUUAAAUCCAUUAGCUCAACUAAUGGGCUGCCGAAAAUACUGUGGAACUAGGGAGUGGGAGAGGUAGACGGUACUCGGUAGGAAGGGGUAAAAUCCUUUGAUCUAUUGAUGACCACCUGUGGCGAAGGCGGUCUACCAGAACACGUUCGACGGUGAGGGAUGAAAGCUGGGGGAGCAAACCGGAUUAGAUACCCGGGUAGUCCCAGCUGUAAACGAUGCAGACUCGGUGAUGCGCUGGCUUGUGGCCAGUGCAGUGCCGCAGGGAAGCCGUUAAGUUUGCCGCCUGGGAAGUACGUACGCAAGUAUGAAACUUAAAGGAAUUGGCGGGGGAGCACCACAAGGGGUGAAGCCUGCGGUUCAAUUGGAUUCAACGCCGGA
Molecule: ribosomal RNA, 916 nt
Filed under: uncultured archaeon
Lineage: Archaea
Description: bacterial SSU rRNA
Rfam family: Archaeal small subunit ribosomal RNA
Source: RNAcentral